UAUGAGGUGGUGCCAUAUUCAAGGGU
RNAcentral lists this non-coding RNA (26 nucleotides) under Mus musculus (house mouse). Lineage: Eukaryota; Metazoa; Chordata; Mammalia; Rodentia; Muridae. The record is from RNAcentral.